CGCCUUCAUGAAGCCGGAAUUGCUAGUAAUGGCAGGUCAGCAUACUGCCGUGAAUACGUUCCCCGGGGCCUUGUACACACCGCCCGUCACACCAUGAGAGUUGGGAAUACCCGAAGCCUGUGAGCCAACUGUAAAGAGGCAGCAGUCGAAGGUAGAAUCAAUGAUUGGGGUGAAGUCGUAACAAGGUAGC
This 190-nucleotide ribosomal RNA is filed under the name uncultured bacterium. RNAcentral's name for it is "partial 16S ribosomal RNA". It matches the Rfam family "Bacterial small subunit ribosomal RNA", at positions 1313 to 1500 of the family's 1533-position model. The record is from RNAcentral.